RNAcentral lists this ribosomal RNA (396 nucleotides) under Triticum aestivum (bread wheat). RNAcentral describes it as "partial small subunit ribosomal RNA". Lineage: Eukaryota; Viridiplantae; Streptophyta; Magnoliopsida; Poales; Poaceae. The record is from RNAcentral.
AUGUCUUCCUCCAGCGCCGCUCAAUCCAAUCUCAGCGGCCAAGUCACGGAGAAGCUCUCCCGGACGAACUACGUCCUGUGGCGAACGCAAGUUACGCCGCACCUAAGGGGAGCCGGGCUCUUCGGGUAUGUCGAUGGAACCAUGCCGGAGCCCGCCCGCCUCCUCGUCACCAAGGACAAGGAAGGCAAGGAGACGACCAAGCUGAACCCUCUCCAUCCCAUUUGGGUGAGGGAGGACCAACAAGUGCUCGGCUACCUCCUCAGCAACCUCUCCAAGGAAGUGCUGAUCACGGUGACCGCGAUCACCAUCGCGCACGCUCUCUGGGCGGCGCUCGCAGGCAUGUUUUCCUCUCAAUCUCUGAGUCGUGUUAACAACAUUCACAUUGCUUUGAUCAAU